RNAcentral lists this unclassified non-coding RNA (348 nucleotides) under soil metagenome. RNAcentral describes it as "partial contains 5.8S ribosomal RNA, internal transcribed spacer 2, and large subunit ribosomal RNA". The stretch from base 1 to 120 matches the Rfam family "5.8S ribosomal RNA", at positions 35 to 154 of the family's 154-position model. The record is from RNAcentral.
GAUGAAGAACGCAGCGAAAUGCGAUAAGUAAUGUGAAUUGCAGAAUUCAGUGAAUCAUCGAAUCUUUGAACGCACAUUGCGCCCGCCAGUAUUCUGGCGGGCAUGCCUGUCUGAGCGUCAUUUCAACCCUCAUGCCCCUAGGGCGUGGUGUUGGGGAUCGGCCUAAGCCCGCGAGGGACGGCCGGCCCCUAAAUCUAGUGGCGGACCCGUCGUGGCCUCCUCUGCGAAGUAGUGAUAUUCCGCAUCGGAGAGCGAUGAGCCCCUGCCGUUAAACCCCCAACUUUCCAAGGUUGACCUCAGAUCAGGUAGGAAUACCCGCUGAACUUAAGCAUAUCAAUAAGCGGAGGA